GACGAACGCUGGCGGCGUGCUUAACACAUGCAAGUCGAACGGAAAGGCCCUGCUUUUGUGGGGUUCUCGAGUGGCGAACGGGGGAGUAACACGUGAGUAACCUGCCCUUGACUUUGGGAUAACUUCAGGAAACUGGGGCUAAUACCGGAUAGGAGCUCCUGCUGCAUGGUGGGGGUUGGAAAGUUUCGGCGGUUGGGGAUGGACUCGCGGCUGAUCAGCUUGUUGGUGGGGUAGUGGCUUACCAAGGCUUUGACGGGUAGCCGGCCUGAGAGGGUGACCGGCCACCUUGGGACUAAGAUAGGGCCCAGACGCCUACGGGAGGCAGCAGUGGGGAACAUUGCACAAUGGGCGCAAGCCUGAUGAAGCAACGCCGCGUGCGGGAUGACGGCCUUCGGGUUGUAAAACGCUUUCGCCUGUGACGAAGCGUGAGUGACGGUAAUGGGUAAAGAAGCACCGGCUAACUACGUG
Molecule: ribosomal RNA, 468 nt
Filed under: uncultured bacterium
Lineage: Bacteria
Description: partial 16S ribosomal RNA
Rfam family: Bacterial small subunit ribosomal RNA
Source: RNAcentral